AGCUUUGUGCAGUGGCAGUAUCGUAGCCAAUGAGGUUUAUCUGAGACGCGAUUAUUGCUAAUUGGAAAAAAGAAACAUAAAUCAAGUAGUCUCUUUAUCUAGUCACUAACAGGUUUCCCUUAGGG
Small nuclear RNA from Myotis lucifugus (little brown bat), 125 nucleotides. Its record names the gene U4. It matches the Rfam family "U4 spliceosomal RNA". From Rfam's summary of the family: U4 small nuclear RNA (U4 snRNA) is a component of the major U2-dependent spliceosome. The structure of U4 snRNA from yeast and human has been reported. NCBI's taxonomy places the organism in Eukaryota, Metazoa, Chordata, Mammalia, Chiroptera, Vespertilionidae. The record is from Ensembl.